UUAAUGCAAGGAUCUUAGUGGAUUUAUGCAUGAUCAGAGUAAUAAGGUUAACUAGCGAUACACUACAAGUUCGAACGAUUUUCCCCUUGUCCAAUUGCGAUACCAGGAGCUUCUCUGCCUGCAACACAAGUAUUCCGGUAGAGUGCAUCUUCAUACUCGUUAGUCGUGUGCUUGAGGCAUUUGUGCAGAGUGUUAAAACCUUCAAAAGUUGGUUGUAUUGUUUGAUAUCUCAUGUGUUAGUAUUGGGAUGAAUAACAUGAAUUAAUAAGACUGAUUUGGGCUGAAUCUGUAACGACGUCAAUUACCUGACUUGCAAUGUCUAGCCAGGCGCCCUCGUCCAUCGCAACCAUCGUUUCAUCAAGGAAGACAAGCUGUUGGAAGAGCAAAUCCACACAAGACGUAACUGUAGAUUCAGAUGCCUUCAUGCCUUGCAAAAGAAUGAACCGCCUCAGGAUGCU
Molecule: long non-coding RNA, 458 nt
Filed under: Physcomitrium patens
Lineage: Eukaryota; Viridiplantae; Streptophyta; Bryopsida; Funariales; Funariaceae
Description: long non-coding RNA (PPAT_LNC009245)
Source: RNAcentral